UACGGAGGGAGCUAGCGUUGUUCGGAAUUACUGGGCGUAAAGCGCGCGUAGGCGGCUUUGUAAGUUAGAGGUGAAAGCCCGGAGCUCAACUCCGGAACUGCCUUUAAAACUGCAUCGCUUGAAUCCAGGAGAGGUGAGUGGAAUUCCGAGUGUAGAGGUGAAAUUCGUAGAUAUUCGGAAGAACACCAGUGGCGAAGGCGGCUCACUGGUCCAUUACUGACGCUGAGGUGCGAAAGCGUGGGGAGCAAACAGG
This 253-nucleotide ribosomal RNA is filed under the name uncultured bacterium. RNAcentral describes it as "partial 16S ribosomal RNA". It matches the Rfam family "Bacterial small subunit ribosomal RNA", at positions 524 to 776 of the family's 1533-position model. The record is from RNAcentral.